This 391-nucleotide ribosomal RNA is filed under the name Cenococcum sp. DL-2015. Its description in RNAcentral is "eukaryotic LSU rRNA". The stretch from base 41 to 193 matches the Rfam family "5.8S ribosomal RNA". The record is from RNAcentral. Lineage: Eukaryota; Fungi; Ascomycota; Dothideomycetes; Gloniales; Gloniaceae.
GCUGUUUUGCGGGGUUGUCUGAACUACGGGCAACGAAUCGGGGUUUCAACAGCGGAUCUCUUGGUUCUGGCAUCGAUGAAGAACGCAGCGAAAUGCGAUAAGUAGUGUGAAUUGCAGAAUUCACUGAAUCAUCGAAUCUUUGAACGCACAUUGCGCCCCUUGGAUCCCGAGGGGCAUGCCUGUUCUAGCGUCAUUUCACCACUCAAGCCUGGGUUGGGGUUGGGCGACGUCCCCUUUAUGGACGCGCCUUGAAACGCUCGGCGGCGUGGCACCGGCUUUAAACGUAUCAGAAUCUUUCUCUUUGAAAGUCUGGGCCCCGUCUGCCGGAAAACCUACUCGCAAGGUUGACCUCGGAUCACGCGCGGAUACCCGCUGAACGGUAAGCAUAUCA